GACGAACGCUGGCGGCGUGCCUAAUACAUGCAAGUAGAACGCACAGUUUAUACCGUAGCUUGCUACACCAUACACUGUGAGUUGCGAACGGGUGAGUAACGCGUAGGUAACCUGCCUGGUAGCGGGGGAUAACUAUUGGAAACGAUAGCUAAUACCGCAUAAUAUUGAUUAUUGCUUGAUAAUUGAUUGAAAGAUGCUAUUGCAUCACUACCAGCUGGAUCUGCGUUGUAUUAGCUAGUAGGUGAGGUAACGGCUCACCUAGGCGACGAUACAUAGCCGACCUGAGAGGGUGAUCGGCCACACUUGGACUGAGACACGGCCCAUACUCCUACGGGAGGCAGCAGGAGGGAAUCUUCGGAAAUGGACGAAAGUCUGACCGAACAACGCCGCGUGAGUGAAGAAGGUUUUCGGAUCGUAAAGCUCUGUUGUAAGAGAAGAACGGGUGUGAGAGUGGAAAGUUCACACUGUGACGGUAUCUUAACAGAAAGGGACGGCUAACUACGUG
This 505-nucleotide ribosomal RNA is filed under the name uncultured bacterium. Its description in RNAcentral is "partial 16S ribosomal RNA". It matches the Rfam family "Bacterial small subunit ribosomal RNA", at positions 28 to 507 of the family's 1533-position model. The record is from RNAcentral.